CGUGAGUAACCUGCCUUGGAGUGGGGAAUAACAGAUGGAAACAUCUGCUAAUACCGCAUAAUACGUCUGUGUCGCAUGGCACUGGACGUCAAAGAUUUAUCGCUCUGAGAUGGACUCGCGUCUGAUUAGCUGGUUGGCGGGGUAACGGCCCACCAAGGCGACGAUCAGUAGCCGGACUGAGAGGUUGGCCGGCCACAUUGGGACUGAGACACGGCCCAGACUCCUACGGAAGGCAGCAG
Molecule: ribosomal RNA, 239 nt
Filed under: uncultured bacterium
Lineage: Bacteria
Description: partial 16S ribosomal RNA
Rfam family: Bacterial small subunit ribosomal RNA
Source: RNAcentral